GAUGAACGCUGGCGGCGUGCCUAAUACAUGCAAGUCGAGCGAACAGACGAGAGUGCUUGCACUCUCUGACGUUAGCGGCGGACGGGUGAGUAACACGUGGGUAACCUACCUAUAAGACUGGGAUAACUUCGGGAAACCGGAGCUAAUACCGGAUAAUAUUUAGCUUCGCAUGAAGCAAUAGUGAAAGACGGUUCUGCUGUCACUUAUAGAUGGACCCGCGGUGUAUUAGCUAGUUGGUGAGGUAACGGCUCACCAAGGCAACGAUACAUAGCCGACCUGAGAGGGUGAUCGGCCACACUGGGAUUGAGACACGGCCCAGACUCCUACGGGAGGCAGCAGUAGGGAAUCUUCCGCAAAGGACGAAAGUCUGACGGAGCAAUGCCGCGUGAGUGAAGAAGGUUUUCGGAUCGUAAAACUCUGUUGUAAGGGAAGAACAAGUACGUUAGUAACUGAACGUACCUUGACGGUACCUUACCAGAAAGCCACGGCUAACUACGUG
Molecule: ribosomal RNA, 499 nt
Filed under: uncultured bacterium
Lineage: Bacteria
Description: partial 16S ribosomal RNA
Rfam family: Bacterial small subunit ribosomal RNA
Source: RNAcentral